GAAGCCUCCAUGUCAGGACACAGCCGGAAACUGCAGGGGGCACGUGAAGGCAAAGACAGGAAGAAGAGGACAGGACAGCCAGAUACUUUAUAUACUUCUGACAACAGGGCUUGUUUCCUUUAGUAUUGCAUUGUAGACAUAGUUCCAUAUCCUAGAUUGAUAGCUCUGAACGGACAGGCUACAAUUCAUCUAACACAUUCCCCAUAGGUAGGUCUCCAACUGGCCCCAGUUUGGCCUUUUAGUGUCACUUGGAAGAGUCUUAGUUUUUAAAACAUUUAAAGUCAGCUAUCAUGUCGUCACUGAACUUUCUCCAGGCCAAACAUCCUGCGUUCCUAACAUCAUUUCUCAUAUGAUGUGGUUCUAGAUUCCUCCAUAUAUGCUGCACUUUUUCUGGGUCCCCAGACUCCAACAGCAGGUUCCAAGGCAGCAGCUUUGGCCAUUGCAGAAUGAGAGAGGCCGUGCCUCAGUUUCUGCCGGAAGACCUAAGGGACUGCUCAUUUGCCAGGCAGCUGGGUUCCCUCAUCAUUUGCAGUUGGGUGACCAAAUCAUUUCUUUUCUAAACCUCAACACUUUUGAGAGUGGGAGGUAUACAAGUUGAAUGGGACAUGGAGAACCCAGGACCUUCCAGGGUGAAAUAGCCAUUUUUCAUGCAAAAGUUGAAGUCAGUUAAAACUUGAAGGAGUUUCUUUUUUACACCAACUGCUUUUAAACUAAGCUCUCAGGUUAGUUUAGCAACAUACUCAAUAGAGGCAAAAAUGGCCUAAUUUGAAGGUAGAUUUGGUUUUUGAAAACAGUCAAUCUUUAUCACAUAGAGGAAACAUGAGAGACCAACUGCUCUAGCUUCCUUUAUGGUGAAGAACAAGACCCAGAGAGGUAAAGGGUCAUGGUUUAAGGUAAUUCCAUUGAUUAGUGACAUCUUUAUUUAAGAGGGGAAAAAAGGUAUUGAAGAUAUAGAACCAAAAUUCAAACCAGCAGCUAUGUGUAUGAUGUGCCUGUCACAAUGCUAGGGUUUUUAAACAUAUUUUUAUUAAAUCAGUAUUAAUUGAGCACUUACUAUAUGCAAGCCACUGUGUAAUAUGCUUGGGAGGAAAUCCCUGUCCUCAAACAGUUCACCAAUGUCUUCACUCAUGUAACCUAUCAAUAAACCAGCAGGGUCAAUAUUCACAUUUCAUUUUGGGAUAUAUGUGAAUGGAUAGGAGGAAGGCACAUGCAUAAGAAGAAAUGGAGACUCAGAAAAAUGAACUUAUUUGCCGAAAGUCACAAAACAAGUAAGUGGGAGAGCAGAAUUCUGACUCCCUGCCUUACACUAGAAAUCACACCACAGUCUGCUCCGUGCUAGCAUCGAGUUUGGCCUUGGGAAACCUGGUGGAGCCUCAGGAUUGCACCUUGAUUGGUGCAUGGGGUCUGUGAGUCACAGCAGAGGGGGUGGUGACCUCUAUAAACUCUUGCUACCAAUGACUACACCCCUCACAGAGGGAUUGUCUACUAGUGAGAAAAACCAUAGUCUGCUUUAGAUUCCUGAUGUUAUUGUAAGUAGGGAAGACCAUUACACACUGUACAAAGACAUGUUUAACAUAACAACAGCCAGCAUUUGUAAAGGAUCUUUGCAGAUUUCUAAGUGUUUUCACAUGCCUCAUCGCGUUGAAUCUUUACUACCCUAACAGAUGUGCAGCCAUCAUUUUCCCCUACAGACCAGCCAGCGAGGCUGGAGGGUGAGGCAACCUGCCCAAAAUUCCAGAAGUCGUGGACAAGAGCCAGUAUACCAACCCAGGCCUUUUUCUCUAUUGUAAUUAAUUAACUAUCUCCAGCUAUUUCAUUAGCAACACAGUAUGGAAGGUCCUUAUAGAGGGACAGCAUGGAAUACCCUCAUGUUAUUGGUUGAUUGUGGUUUAUGGAAGUAAUGCUAUUCCUUCUUAAGAUGCCUUCAGGAUCGUUUCAACUGUAAGGGAAUAUUCAAUCCUCCCAUCCCAGGCUGAGUCGUCAUCAGAGCGAACAAGCAGCCUGGCUCAAGUUUCCUUCCUUGGUGUUUUCUUAUCUGUCUCCCACCAAUGGCUUAGCCUGUAUGGGUGAGUGGGGUCAGGAAGUGGCAUACAGUCUCUGUUUUUAUUCUCUGUUUGGAAAUUUUCUAAUUAUAGGUCACACCAAGAGUUUCCAUUCCUCCCCCAACAACCCUCCAUGACACUUCACCUUGUUUAUGUAACUUAAUAAGCAAAGACCCAAGGCUUUUUUUUUUUUUUAAGACUUAAACCAUGAAGCUUUUAAUGAGGAAUCAAACUCAUUCCCUUAUCUUUCUGGCUAGUAAAUAGCUGCCUGUUAUCUUCUUAGUGUGUAGCUGAACUUACCAUCUCCUUUCUGGUCAGGGGUUUUAUAGUCUGAUUACGCCUUAGGCUUCCUGUGCAAGCCAUCAGAAGAAGGACCAUUCACACACACACACUACAAAAAAAGGAGAUUUAAGGUAAAGUCCUUUAAAACCCCAGCCUUCAUAGAAUAAAGAGAUGAUAUAUCACAGAAUCAAGAAACAGGAGUCACAGAUUCAAGAUAGAUCUAUCAUGGCAUCUGACACAAUGAAGUUGCCUAUUUAGGGUGUAAAUGAGAGCGAGAUUUUAGUCAAUUGUCAUGCUUUGGAGACUGAAAGCUAAGGGCCAACACUUAAAUAAUUUUAUUCCAAUUCUACCAAGAUUUUUUCCCUAACUUAACUGACUAAAAAGAUUAUAAAAUUUAUGUCACCUUAGCCUAGGAUCCUCUGGAAAUACAUUCAGUAAUAGUAACUUUUAGACAAAAUUUGACCAGUAGCCAUAAACCAAAUCCACAGAACAAAAUGAAAAAUAUCCUACUUUUAAGAGGCAAAAAGACAUUCUUAAGCCAAAUGUUAUUAAAGCAAAAAACAACUAUGUAGGAAAUAUUCUGUGCUUUUCCCUACCAGCAGUGUUCAAGCAGAAAUCACUUCUGCAGAACUACUGAACAAUGAAGGCUGGAAAGGAAAUAUAAAAGAAGUGGUAUUUUGGUAAAAAGAUCCUGACCCUGAGGAUUCGUACUAGUAUUAAGUGUUAUAAAAUUAACCUUUCAACUGUCCUCUGGGGUCUGAAGAACGCAGCUAAAUGAAGGAAAACUAAUUCAUGAAACAGGCUGCCAAGGAGGAUCAAGGAAGGAGCUUGCUAUUCAGGAAGCUCAAGAAACAGCACCCAAGCAGGGAUGCAGGGCCCAGAAAGAAAAAAUUUAACUGAUUCCAGAAAAGUCAUUGAGCUUUGCUAAAGAAGGAGUCGUGGCAGCCUCACUACCAAACAUUUGUACCUACCUCCUCCUCCAUGUGGUGAGGAGGAUUUGAGGCCUGGCACGAAAGCAAGGCCAUCACCAUCACCAUUAUUGCUAUUAUCAGGGAAUCCCCAAGCAAUGUCCAUUCAAGAGAUGUUUGAAGCCUUACGCAGAUAUUUUCCAGCCUUUGAGUUUUUUGACCCCUUUUUUCUUUAACCUUUGUUCCAUUUUGAUACAUGGAAAGAUCCUACUCCACUGUCUCAGCUAGAUUUCAGUAGGUUUUUCUGUGUGGGAAUGUCUCUACAUAUCUCUGAGCAGUCUAUCUUCUGUGUAGGUGCAUGAAUUUGAGAGUUCUCCUCAGAUCCAGAGUCUUCUAACUUUUGCCCUGCUUCCCCUCUCUGCUGAAAUGUCAGGGCUCUGGCAGCUGCCAUUAUCAGAUCCCAAACAAGCGUGUGAAUAACAAUGGGAAGUGUGACAAUUCCCUAGGUUGUUUUUUUUUCUUUAAGCCUUCACAGGAAGAGCUUGACUAUGGCGAAUUCUAUGUUUAGACUGUAGUCUUUUGUAUUUAGUUUAGCAAACUGCAUUUCAAGGCCCCUAGGAUGCAAGUUAUACUCAUUAUAAUGCACGAAUAAUUUCCCCUUCAACAUGAUUUUCACAUCAGAAUGAUAAAGGACAACCAAAUGAUGAGAAUGAACUGUUGCAGUAUGAAACUGACCCACAGCUUACGUAAAACUGUAAGUGAGCACAAUUGAAUUUCCUUUUUCCUGACAAGGAAUGAGGGGAAGGGAUAGGGAGAAGGGAAGCUGACAGCAAGGUUUCUUACCCCACUGCUCCCUCUCCAUCUAAUUAAGAAGUCUGCUGAUUGGGGCAGUCCCCACGGCAGCAGCCACCUAGCAGAAGUGCAGGGAAAGCCUUAGAUCUGCUUACUUUCCACUAUAUUAGGCACCCCUGCUUUACAUUCUAUGAGUUGUCCACUCCCAAUAAUUACUUCUUUCUGAACACCCAUCUUGACAAGAAUGAAAAGCCAUCACAAAAGGCUAUUUUCCAAAAGAAAAAGUUCAAGUAUCUUCUCUUUUCCUUUUAAAUGCCUCAACAAAAGCCUGUUCUCACUAACCAAAAGACCAGGAAAGGGACAACCUAGCAAAACAGAAAACCUUUAGACAAUAACCAUUCUACUUCAACCAAACACCACAAACAAAACC
This 4454-nucleotide long non-coding RNA is filed under the name Homo sapiens (human). RNAcentral describes it as "HSALNT0072448". Lineage: Eukaryota; Metazoa; Chordata; Mammalia; Primates; Hominidae. The record is from RNAcentral.